GCAAUCGACCACAGGUUGUGUUAAAGCAGGGCUUCCCGUCCGCUCAGCCAUACUUAAGCCACAAGCCGAUUAGUUAGUAGUUGCGUCGGUGACGAGCAGCGAAUCCUAAUUGUUGAUUGUU
Molecule: ribosomal RNA, 121 nt
Organism: Exophiala spinifera
Lineage: Eukaryota; Fungi; Ascomycota; Eurotiomycetes; Chaetothyriales; Herpotrichiellaceae
Source: Rfam